Molecule: long non-coding RNA, 390 nt
Filed under: Mytilus galloprovincialis (Mediterranean mussel)
Lineage: Eukaryota; Metazoa; Mollusca; Bivalvia; Mytilida; Mytilidae
Source: RNAcentral
UCGAUGCAUUUUAAAAUACUUAAAACUGUUUUUCAAAAUUAAAAAUAAGUAAAGUUGAAAAAAUGCAUGUACAGGAAGAGGUGUGGUUAAAAACUUAAAGUUUAAGAAAAACAUAUACAUAUAAAACAACAGACAAAAACAAAAAAGAUGGAAAGAAAACCAACGGUCAACAAAACACAACACAGAAAACUAACAUAAGAUACAGACAACAGUAGACUGAGUAGUAUACCGCUGUUCAAUAGUCAUAAGUCCUUGAGAGAAACAUAUCCGGGUUACAAACGAAAAUCGAGGGAAACGUAUUAACUAUAAGAGAAAAACAACGGAACAACAGAAACAUUGAACUGCUACAAUUACAACGUGCGUUGAAACUAUCUAUUUGAUAACACCUGC